CCUUCAGAGAUCUCAGAGCUUUUUUUUUUUUUUUCUUUCAGAAAACUAGAAUGGGCCUAGGAUUGGGUGACAUACUGAAACCAUGGUCAACUGAGGAAUAGAGUCCAGAAGAGGCUUUGUUGGAACCCAGUGAUUUACGGCUUCCCUUCAGAGGGGCAGGAACCAAGCCAAGCAAAAUCAAUAUGGUUUUUCAGAGAGGUAGGGAUGAGUUGAAAAGAGACCUUAGGUCACAAACAUUACCACUUAAGGAGAAAUGCAACUCACCCCAAGGACCUCAGAUGAUGUUUUUGUGUAUGCACAACCCAUUGGUGGGUAAAAGAGUUUUAUUGGUUUUAAAAAUUAUUAUAAAAAUGGCCAUAAUAAAGCAUUCGAGAAAACUGAAAAGUAUCGAAAAUAACCCUAUACCUCAGGGAAAUAAUCUCUCUAUAUAUUUUGGUGAAUUUCCUUCCAUAUUUUUCUCUACAUAUAUAUUCAACAAUAUAAAUAUAUAUUUUAAGUGAAAUCAUAGUAUGAAACUGCUUGUAAUCUGCUUCCUACAUUUAAUACUACAUCUUGAUACUUUCUCACAAUAGUAAAUGUAGUUCUACUUCUUGAUCUUUGGUAGCCACAUAGGGCUCUAUUGCCUGAUAUUUCUGAUUUUAGCCUGACCUAUAUUGGUUAACACUACAUCAUUUGAAUUGUUUCUACAUCAUUGUAACACUACAUCAAUAGUAAUUGUUUCUUCUUUCUUUUUCUUAUUUCAAUAUGUUGGUUAGAACUUGUAGAAUGUGCCCAAAUAUAACUUAUUCUUAACUUGAAUUUGAUUUUAUAACAGUACCUUUAUUAUUUCACCAUAGUUCCUGUUGUUUUUUAAAAAAAUAUUUAUUUUUUAGUUAUGGGUGGACACAAUAUCUCUAUUUUAUUUUUAUGUGAUGCUGAGGAUUCGAACCUAGUGUCUCACACAUGCUAGGCAAGCACUCUACCUCCGAGCCAAAAACCCAG
RNAcentral lists this long non-coding RNA (981 nucleotides) under Marmota monax (woodchuck). Lineage: Eukaryota; Metazoa; Chordata; Mammalia; Rodentia; Sciuridae. The record is from RNAcentral.